GGGGAAUAUUGGACAAUGGGCGAAAGCCUGAUCCAGCCAUGCCGCGUGUGUGAAGAAGGCCUUUUGGUUGUAAAGCACUUUAAGUGGGGAGGAAAAGCUUAUGGUUAAUACCCAUAAGCCCUGACGUUACCCACAGAAUAAGCACCGGCUAACUCUGUGCCAGCAGCCGCGGUAAUACAGAGGGUGCAAGCGUUAAUCGGAAUUACUGGGCGUAAAGCGCGCGUAGGUGGUUAUUUAAGUCAGAUGUGAAAGCCCCGGGCUUAACCUGGGAACUGCAUCUGAUACUGGAUAACUAGAGUAGGUGAGAGGGGAGUAGAAUUCCAGGUGUAGCGGUGAAAUGCGUAGAGAUCUGGAGGAAUACCGAUGGCGAAGGCAGCUCCCUGGCAUCAUACUGACACUGAGGUGCGAAAGCGUGGGCAGCAAACAGGAUUAGAUACCCUGGUAGUCCACGCCGUAAACGAUGUCUACCAGUCGUUGGGUCUUUUAAAGACUUAGUGACGCAGUUAACGCAAUAAGUAGACCGCCUGGGGAGUACGGCCGCAAGGUUA
RNAcentral lists this ribosomal RNA (548 nucleotides) under uncultured bacterium. RNAcentral describes it as "bacterial SSU rRNA". It matches the Rfam family "Bacterial small subunit ribosomal RNA", at positions 356 to 896 of the family's 1533-position model. The record is from RNAcentral.